GCCAGUUUGGUCUAGUGGUUAAGGCACCAGGCUAGAAAGCUGGAGUCUAUAAGUUCAAGUCCUGUCUUAGGCA
This 73-nucleotide transfer RNA is filed under the name Ophiophagus hannah (king cobra). It matches the Rfam family "tRNA". From Rfam's summary of the family: Transfer RNA (tRNA) molecules are approximately 80 nucleotides in length. Their secondary structure includes four short double-helical elements and three loops (D, anti-codon, and T loops). Lineage: Eukaryota; Metazoa; Chordata; Lepidosauria; Squamata; Elapidae. The record is from Rfam by way of RNAcentral.